RNAcentral lists this long non-coding RNA (894 nucleotides) under Homo sapiens (human). Its description in RNAcentral is "HSALNT0326614". The record is from RNAcentral. Lineage: Eukaryota; Metazoa; Chordata; Mammalia; Primates; Hominidae.
AAUGACUGGAUUGGCAAAAGUCUUGACAAGAGAGGCCAACAGAAACCAAAAGCCUUCACGACUGUAACUCAAUUUGUUUUCUGAGCUCAGAAGAGAAUGACACUGUGCUAGAUGGAUUUCAGUUGUCCUUCCAGAUCUGCUCUCCACUUCUCCACACUGGCCAGCACCCUUCAUGUGCUGCUCACAAAGCCGAGAGCCACAGAGGAGCACACGGGUUAGUGCACUAGCAACUGAAGUUAGGAAGGCUCGGGUGGACGCUGCCAACCAGCAAUCCAAUCUGCCUGAUGGCCAACCCUUUGACUGCUGGGAGCCUGGAGCUUUCUGAAUCAGACAACUUCCAGACUUCACAUGUGCUGCCAAGCACAAGAUAUAUUCUGGAAAAGAAGAGGAGGAGGAAGAAGAAUGACUGUAAAGGAAGGAGCAGUACUGUUUUCAUGAGGACCUACUAUGUGCCAGACAUUAUUCUAGGUGCUGGGGCUACCAUGGUUUGCUGGGGAGCACAAGAAGCUGCGAUUUUUGUUCUGCUGAUUUCCAUUAACACCCCCUACCCACCCCACCUUCACCCCUGGCAAAUAGACGCCGCUAAAUGGAGGGAAACUUGCAGCUACUUGGGAGGCUAAGGUGGGAAGAUCGCUUGAGCCCAGGAGGUCGAGGCUGCGGUGAACCAAGAUUGUGACACUGCACUCCAGCCUGGGCAACAGAUGCUGUGUGAAGAUGAAGGCAGAGAUCAGGCUGAUGCUUAUGGAAAGCCAGAGAUUGCCAACAAACCACCAAAAGCUAGGAGAGAGGCCUGGAACAGAUUCUCUCUGAGUCCUCAGAAGGAACCAACCCUGCCAACACUGUGAUCUUGGACUUCUAAACCCCAGAACUGUGAAAUAAUAAAUGUCUGAUGUC